UAUAUAUAUAUAUAUAGGCCGGAAUACUAUUAGUAGUAAAAUGCUCUUUUUGCUAUCAAGAUUUUAACCAUUGGAUGAAAAAUUAUAGAGUUAGGAUGAUAUUAGUCAGUUAGAGUUGAGUGGUCCCCCUAAGGUUGAGUGGUCCCCACUGGGUUUUAGUAUUUAAUCCAAUGGUUAGAAAUGAUGAAAAUAGUUGAUACAAAGGCUAAAAAACUGGUAGCAACAAUAGAAUUUUGCUACUAAUAGUAGCCCAGUCCAACUCUAUAUAUAUAUAUAUAUAUAUAAAA
RNAcentral lists this long non-coding RNA (287 nucleotides) under Ananas comosus (pineapple). RNAcentral describes it as "long non-coding RNA (ACOM_LNC014172)". The record is from RNAcentral. Lineage: Eukaryota; Viridiplantae; Streptophyta; Magnoliopsida; Poales; Bromeliaceae.